Ovis aries (sheep) is the source of this 45-nucleotide non-coding RNA. The record is from Rfam. Lineage: Eukaryota; Metazoa; Chordata; Mammalia; Artiodactyla; Bovidae.
AUAAAGGUGUUUAUAAACACCACCAACAGAAAGAAUUGGGAAUGU